Molecule: ribosomal RNA, 494 nt
Filed under: uncultured bacterium
Lineage: Bacteria
Description: partial 16S ribosomal RNA
Rfam family: Bacterial small subunit ribosomal RNA
Source: RNAcentral
GACGAACGCUGGCGGCGUGCUUAACACAUGCAAGUCGAACGGUGAAGCGCCUUCCUUUUUGGUGGGUGUGGAUGAGUGACGAACGGGUGAGUAACACGUGAGUAACCUGCCCCCUUCUUCUGGAUAACCGCAUGAAAGUGUGGCUAAUACGGGAUAUUCUGGGUCUGUCGCAUGAUGGGUCUGGGAAAGAUGUUGUUUCGGUGGGGGAUGGGCUCGCGGCCUAUCAGCUUGUUGGUGGGGUGAUGGCCUACCAAGGCGGUGACGGGUAGCCGGCCUGAGAGGGUGGACGGUCACACUGGGACUGAGACACGGCCCAGACUCCUACGGGAGGCAGCAGUGGGGAAUAUUGCACAAUGGGCGCAAGCCUGAUGCAGCGACGCCGCGUGAGGGAUGGAGGCCUGCGGGUUGUGAACCUCUUUCGCCAGUGAAGCAGGCCUGCCUCGUUUGUGGGUGGGUUGACGGUAGCUGGAGAAGAAGCGCCGGCUAACUACGUA